RNAcentral lists this ribosomal RNA (790 nucleotides) under Priestia aryabhattai. RNAcentral's name for it is "bacterial SSU rRNA". It matches the Rfam family "Bacterial small subunit ribosomal RNA", at positions 56 to 826 of the family's 1533-position model. Lineage: Bacteria; Bacillati; Bacillota; Bacilli; Caryophanales; Bacillaceae. The record is from RNAcentral.
UGCAAGUCGAGCGAACUGAUUAGAAGCUUGCUUCUAUGACGUUAGCGGCGGACGGGUGAGUAACACGUGGGCAACCUGCCUGUAAGACUGGGAUAACUUCGGGAAACCGAAGCUAAUACCGGAUAGGAUCUUCUCCUUCAUGGGAGAUGAUUGAAAGAUGGUUUCGGCUAUCACUUACAGAUGGGCCCGCGGUGCAUUAGCUAGUUGGUGAGGUAACGGCUCACCAAGGCAACGAUGCAUAGCCGACCUGAGAGGGUGAUCGGCCACACUGGGACUGAGACACGGCCCAGACUCCUACGGGAGGCAGCAGUAGGGAAUCUUCCGCAAUGGACGAAAGUCUGACGGAGCAACGCCGCGUGAGUGAUGAAGGCUUUCGGGUCGUAAAACUCUGUUGUUAGGGAAGAACAAGUACGAGAGUAACUGCUCGUACCUUGACGGUACCUAACCAGAAAGCCACGGCUAACUACGUGCCAGCAGCCGCGGUAAUACGUAGGUGGCAAGCGUUAUCCGGAAUUAUUGGGCGUAAAGCGCGCGCAGGCGGUUUCUUAAGUCUGAUGUGAAAGCCCACGGCUCAACCGUGGAGGGUCAUUGGAAACUGGGGAACUUGAGUGCAGAAGAGAAAAGCGGAAUUCCACGUGUAGCGGUGAAAUGCGUAGAGAUGUGGAGGAACACCAGUGGCGAAGGCGGCUUUUUGGUCUGUAACUGACGCUGAGGCGCGAAAGCGUGGGGAGCAAACAGGAUUAGAUCCCCUGGCAGUCCACGCCGUUAACCCAUGAGUGCCCAAUUGUUA